GAGAAAUCCGUCGACUUUAUAAGUCGUGAGGGUUCAAGUCCCUCUAUCCCCA
RNAcentral lists this transfer RNA (52 nucleotides) under Deschampsia cespitosa subsp. borealis. RNAcentral's name for it is "partial tRNA-Leu". Lineage: Eukaryota; Viridiplantae; Streptophyta; Magnoliopsida; Poales; Poaceae. The record is from RNAcentral.